GCCUUCAUGGGAUCAGGACUUCGCGUCCCCCAUAUUGGCUCGACCUAGACAAUCGGGUCCGGUUCUCUUGGAAUCAGGCCGGACCUUUGUAGACAGUGCGGGAUUCCGCCGUCUCCGUUUCUCUUUCUUCUCUUGUUAGUGAGCACACGCUUGGAAUCGGGCCUGUAGCUCAGGUGGUUAGAGCGCACGCCUGAUAAGCGUGAGGUCGGUAGUUCAAGUCUACCCAGGCCCACCAUUACCAGGGCCGGAAGACAGGUGGCGGCCUUUUGCGCUGAUACCUGGCGGGGCCAUAGCUCAGUUGGGAGAGCGCCUGCUUUGCAAGCAGGAGGUCGUCGGUUCGAUUCCGUCUGGCUCCACCACUUUCGGCGGGAGCCGGCGUUUCGCCGGCCGAUGUGCUCAAUAACGUGCUCUAGAGAAACAGAAUUCGUGCCCCGUUUGGGCGCGCUUAAGUUCAUUUACAUCGUGAAGAGGGGAUUUGCCUGAAGCCUCCAACACCGGAGGGCGCCUAAUUGCGUCUUUUUUGAAGUGGCUGCCUUUUUGGCCAGUGGUGACCGCACCGCUGUCGGGUUGAUCUCAGAUUAUCUGGUCUAACAUCUCCAUUGAUGUUGGUCCGUUCGCGCGCGCCCGUUGGGUUCGCAAGAGCGGAACGAGCAUUGAUGAUGAGAGCAAUCAAGUGACCUAAGGGCGUUUGGGUGGAUGCCUUGG
Molecule: transfer RNA, 705 nt
Filed under: uncultured bacterium
Lineage: Bacteria
Description: partial 16S-23S ribosomal RNA intergenic spacer
Rfam family: tRNA (bases 159-232)
Source: RNAcentral